Molecule: long non-coding RNA, 327 nt
Filed under: Oryza sativa Indica Group (long-grained rice)
Lineage: Eukaryota; Viridiplantae; Streptophyta; Magnoliopsida; Poales; Poaceae
Description: lncRNA OsLaMu_03g0022900
Source: RNAcentral
GAUUACCUUGUCAAUGACUCUAGUGUGGCUGUGAAGAUUGUGUGGUUUCUCCCUCUCUGGUUCUACCGCUUCUCCUGCUGGGACUGUAACUUCACUCCUUUAUUGGAACUGGAACACUUGAAUAUUUCUCCUCCUUGCUCAGGCACCAGCUGCUCCUCCAGAAACUAUACUGGACUGCUGGAACACCACUUGCUCCUUCUUCAGGUUGGUCUCUCUGCUGUCUCACUUCAGCAUCUUCUUGCUGCUAUGGUUUAUAUGGUAAGCCUGGUUGUUUUUCUAUGGCUGCUACUAUUGAGAUAUGGUGUGACUGUGGUGCCGGUCUACUAG